UAAAAGUCACUUCCUAUAAAACAGAAGCUCAGAAUAUAUAAGCAAUAAAUGAACAGCGACAAUCUUAUCCAUUGCAAUGGUCCACCUGGAGGGAUAUUAUGUAACUCUUGCACAAAGUCCACAAAGUUGACAGAACACUGACAGCUACUCCAUUUUUACUUUGUGGCUCAACCCCAAAGUGCUGCCAGGAGGGGACGAUUCAAGCAUCUGCCGACCAGUUUCUGGAGCCGUGGGUAGACAGGGGCGAGAGGAAACACACACAGGUUUUUAAAGUGCCAUGGCUCAUGCAACUGCAGGGGGUCGCGUGGACCCCAGGCCGGCCUGCGGUCCCUCAGGCACAGAGCUCACAGCCGGGAGUCUCGGCCAACCCCGUUAUCCCCGGACCCACGGUGAGCGUGGAUUCUAGAAUUCCACACCUUCUAAGAGCGUCAUGCUGUUGGAGGAGAGCGCGACCCUCGGUUCCGUCCUUGAAGGCAUAGUGCUUAUUAGGCCUGGAAAGCGUUGCUGUGCUGUGAACCCAUCUGAGGUUAAAACCUACCCGAGUGUUUGGUUCCUCCCAGGAGCGCCUAAGAUGAACGAGAAUUCCCUUCUGUGCUCUUGGAGUGGUUCGCCAGGAGCAUUUCUCUGCUUUAUAAUUUUAAAAAAGGAAGCAUAUUAUUGUUAUAAUUUCUGCUAUAGGACAAAACGGGAGAUAAAGCAACUUUAACAAGGAUACAAACCAAAAUAACAGCUGAAGAAUAGUAUCUGUUACCUGGUCGACAGGGUAAACAGACGAGUCACACCCUAGGCUCCUCCCAUCUCCUGCCAAACCUCUCAAUCAUAGAAGUAAUUUAAAGUCAGCAUUUUAAAACGCCAGACGUCUUAAAGCUGUCGGGUGCCAUGCACUAGGCUUGCAGAAGGAAGAAACAGGGCUAAAUGCCACAAAGCUAAUUUAAACAUUAAGUGUCCUCAAAGCCCCCACCCUGUAGAAGUUCUGCCCUGCAGAUGGUGGCUGAUGUAAAUCACAGCUAACAUACAAAGAUGAAAAUGCCUGGGAAAUGGACAGUAGCAGGUAAGGUAAUAUUUUAGCACAUUUAUUAUCAGCAUUUGCUAAUUUUAUGGAGAUGGACCGAGCCAUUUUUAAAUGCUAUUUCAGACCCAUCUCAGAGCACACUGUGAAGAUACUAGAGCCUGAACCAGCUGAAGAGGAUGCUUCCUCUCGGUGACUUACAUCUCUGCUGCUAGGGCCUUCCAGCAGCUUAUUCAAGUCUCCUGCCCAGUUUUAAUAGUCACGGUGGAUAGAGGUAGAAAGACCGAGUAAGUCAGUUCUAGGUCACCACACAAGACCCGGAUGCUCGUGUGUCUGGUCGAGCAGAACACAAACAAGAGGGAAAUGGCACCGGCGUGUAUGGGUUCAACAGUGGAGUCGAUUUGCAGAUCCUAUUGUGGUUUCUAACACUAAUAAAAUCCUGUGUGACUCACACAAGUCCCUGAGCUUCUGUAUAACCAUCUAGAA
This is a long non-coding RNA of Camelus dromedarius (Arabian camel), 1495 nucleotides long. RefSeq lists it as uncharacterized. The record is from RefSeq and is a predicted model, not a curated record. NCBI's taxonomy places the organism in Eukaryota, Metazoa, Chordata, Mammalia, Artiodactyla, Camelidae. The transcript is spliced from 3 exons.